Molecule: ribosomal RNA, 667 nt
Filed under: Arthrobacter sp. B220_3
Lineage: Bacteria; Bacillati; Actinomycetota; Actinomycetes; Micrococcales; Micrococcaceae
Description: bacterial SSU rRNA
Rfam family: Bacterial small subunit ribosomal RNA
Source: RNAcentral
UCGGGGAUUAGUGGCGAACGGGUGAGUAACACGUGAGUAACCUGCCCUUAACUCUGGGAUAAGCCUGGGAAACUGGGUCUAAUACUGGAUAUUGACUUUUCACCGCAUGGUGGUUGGUUGAAAGAUUUAUUGGUUUUGGAUGGACUCGCGGCCUAUCAGCUUGUUGGUGAGGUAAUGGCUCACCAAGGCGACGACGGGUAGCCGGCCUGAGAGGGUGACCGGCCACACUGGGACUGAGACACGGCCCAGACUCCUACGGGAGGCAGCAGUGGGGAAUAUUGCACAAUGGGCGAAAGCCUGAUGCAGCGACGCCGCGUGAGGGAUGACGGCCUUCGGGUUGUAAACCUCUUUCAGUAGGGAACAAGGCCAGUGUUUAGCUGGUUGAGGGUACUUGCAGAAGAAGCGCCGGCUAACUACGUGCCAGCAGCCGCGGUAAUACGUAGGGCGCAAGCGUUAUCCGGAAUUAUUGGGCGUAAAGAGCUCGUAGGCGGUUUGUCGCGUCUGCCGUGAAAGUCCGGGGCUCAACUCCGGAUCUGCGGUGGGUACGGGCAGACUAGAGUGAUGUAGGGGAGACUGGAAUUCCUGGUGUAGCGGUGAAAUGCGCAGAUAUCAGGAGGAACACCGAUGGCGAAGGCAGGUCUCUGGGCAUUAACUGACGCUGAGGAGC